AGGGAAACUUCCACAAUGGGCGAAAGCCUGAUGGAGCAACGCCGCGUGAGUGAAGAAGGCCUUCGGGUUGUAAAGCCCUUUUGUUCGGAAAGAAGAGCAGCCGGCCAAUACCCGGUUGUUCUGACGGUACCCAAAGAAUAAGCACCGGCUAACUUCGUGCCAGCAGCCGCGGUAAUACGAAGGGUGCAAGCGUUACUCGGAAUUACUGGGCGUAAAGCGUGCGUAGGUGGUGGUUUAAGUCCGUUGUGAAAGCCCUGGGCUCAACCUGGGAACUGCAGUGGAUACUGGAUCACUAGAGUGUGGCAGAGGGUAGUGGAAUUCCCGGUGUAGCAGUGAAAUGCGUAGAGAUCGGGAGGAACAUCAGUGGCGAAGGCGACUGCCUGGGCCAACACUGACACUGAGGCACGAAAGCGUGGGGAGCAAACA
RNAcentral lists this ribosomal RNA (426 nucleotides) under uncultured Lysobacteraceae bacterium. RNAcentral describes it as "bacterial SSU rRNA". It matches the Rfam family "Bacterial small subunit ribosomal RNA", at positions 356 to 774 of the family's 1533-position model. Lineage: Bacteria; Pseudomonadati; Pseudomonadota; Gammaproteobacteria; Lysobacterales; Lysobacteraceae. The record is from RNAcentral.